This 253-nucleotide ribosomal RNA is filed under the name uncultured bacterium. RNAcentral describes it as "partial 16S ribosomal RNA". It matches the Rfam family "Bacterial small subunit ribosomal RNA", at positions 524 to 776 of the family's 1533-position model. The record is from RNAcentral.
UACAGAGGGUGCGAGCGUUAAUCGGAAUUACUGGGCGUAAAGGGCGUGUAGGUGGUUGCGUAAGAUUGAUGUGAAAUCCCUGGGCUUAACCUAGGAACUGCAUCGAUGACUGCGUAGCUAGAGUACUGUAGAGGGGAGUGGAAUUUCCGGUGUAGCGGUGAAAUGCGUAGAGAUCGGAAGGAACACCAGUGGCGAAGGCGGCUACCUGGACAGAUACUGACACUGAGGCGCGAGAGCGUGGGGAGCAAACAGG